GUCUCCGACAGGAAGUUUUGGAAGAGAGAUUUCCGAACAUGAUUUGAAGACGUGGAGCUAUUGAAUACACAUCGCCCUGUGAUCAAUUUGAUAGAUUAUUAACGUUUACUAAUACCUACAGUUGGAUUACAAAAGUAUUUCGAAGUGUUUUGUGAAAGUUUAUCGUCGACUUUUUUGAUUUAAAAAAAUGACGUAGCGUUUUCAAACAGUGUUUUUUUAUGGAUCACACAGUUUUCAUAGAUCGAUAUUUAGGGUAUAUAUGGACCGAUUUAAUCGAGAAAAAAAAGACCCAAUAGUGAUGUUUAUGGGACAUAUAGGAGUGCCAACAAAGAAGCUAGUCAAAGCAGGACACACAGGAUGUACUUCAGACACCCAACAAUGCCGAAAUCUCUGUCAUUGGCAAGAGAAAGAGACCCAGGUAUCGAGGACACAGGGCUGGGUGCCUCGUAAGGAUCCGCAGACGGUGAGUGGAA
This is a long non-coding RNA of Oncorhynchus tshawytscha (Chinook salmon), 473 nucleotides long. The record is from Ensembl. Lineage: Eukaryota; Metazoa; Chordata; Actinopteri; Salmoniformes; Salmonidae.